UGCAUAUCAGCCCCAUAGGAGAAGUAGACCUCAAGCUUUCAUCCCCCUCUAUUUCGCAAAUCGUUCAGUGAAAUCGAAUUCUAGACGCGUAUUCCCCGAUGACUUGAGCGAAUGAGCAUAUGGUGCGUUUUGGUCACAAAGGUGUGGCUUAGAGGGUAGAGAAGUAUCAAGGUGAAAUAGGCUUAUGUUCAUAAGCCUGCGAGGUUAGAGUCGACAUUAUGUCAGUGGUGUUGCGCAGCUUUGCAUCUUUGGUGAGUACUGGUGGUCAACUUGGUUUAGUAGAUGUGGCAUGUUGUGUAAUAGUUUAAUCUUUAACCUUCCGCUGGAUAAAUGUUACGUUUUUAAAUGUAAUAGAUUUUAAUUGUGC
Salvia splendens (bonfire salvia) is the source of this 367-nucleotide long non-coding RNA. RefSeq lists it as uncharacterized. The transcript has 3 exons. The record is from RefSeq and is a predicted model, not a curated record. NCBI's taxonomy places the organism in Eukaryota, Viridiplantae, Streptophyta, Magnoliopsida, Lamiales, Lamiaceae.